CAGCAACGCCGCGUGAGCGAUGAAGGCCUUCGGGUCGUAAAGCUCUGUCCUCAAGGAAGAUAAUGCGGUACUUGAGGAGAAGCCCCGGCUAACUACGUGCCAGCAGCCGCGGUAAUACGGGAGCCAGCACCGCGGUAAUACAGGGCCAGCAGCCGCGGUAAUACGGGAGCCAGCAGCCGCGGUAAUA
This 187-nucleotide unclassified non-coding RNA is filed under the name uncultured Clostridium sp. RNAcentral describes it as "contains 16S-23S intergenic spacer region". The stretch from base 1 to 128 matches the Rfam family "Bacterial small subunit ribosomal RNA", at positions 389 to 539 of the family's 1533-position model. Lineage: Bacteria; Bacillati; Bacillota; Clostridia; Eubacteriales; Clostridiaceae. The record is from RNAcentral.